ACUCAAAUGAAUUGACGGGGACCCGCACAAGCAGCGGAGCGUGUGGUUUAAUUCGAUGCAACGCGAAGAACCUUACCUGGGCUUGACAUGCACUCGCAACACCAAGAAAUUGGUGCCUCCUUCGGGACGGGUGCACAGAUGCUGCAUGGCUGUCGUCAGCUCGUGUCGUGAGAUGUUGGGUUAAGUCCCGCAACGAGCGCAACCCUCGUCUUUAGUUGACAAUCUAAAGAGACUGCCGGAAACAAACCGGAGGAAGGUGGGGAUGAUGUCAAGUCAGCAUGGCUCUUACGUCCAGGGCUACACACACGCUACAAUGGUCGUUACAGCGAGAAGCCACCCAGCGAUGGGGAGCAGAUCUCUAAAAGGCGGCCUCAGUUCAGAUUGCACUCUGCAACCCGAGUGCAUGAAGUCGGAGUUGCUAGUAACCGCGUGUCAGCAUAGCGCGGUGAAUAUGUUCCCGGGUCUUGUACACACCGCCCGU
Molecule: ribosomal RNA, 481 nt
Filed under: uncultured bacterium
Lineage: Bacteria
Description: partial 16S ribosomal RNA
Rfam family: Bacterial small subunit ribosomal RNA
Source: RNAcentral